RNAcentral lists this ribosomal RNA (492 nucleotides) under uncultured bacterium. RNAcentral's name for it is "partial 16S ribosomal RNA". It matches the Rfam family "Bacterial small subunit ribosomal RNA", at positions 29 to 507 of the family's 1533-position model. The record is from RNAcentral.
AGUGAACGCUGGCGAUAGGCCUAACACAUGCAAGUCGAACGGCAGCACAGUAAGAGCUUGCUCUUACGGGUGGCGAGUGGCGGACGGGUGAGGAAUACAUCGGAAUCUACUUUUUCGUGGGGGAUAACGUAGGGAAACUUACGCUAAUACCGCAUACGACCUACGGGUGAAAGCAGGGGAUCUUCGGACCUUGCGCGAUUGAAUGAGCCGAUGUCGGAUUAGCUAGUUGGGGGGGUACAGGCCCACCAAGGCGACGAUCCGUAGCUGGUCUGAGAGGAUGAUCAGCCACACUGGAACUGAGACACGGUCCAGACUCCUACGGGAGGCAGCAGUGGGGAAUAUUGGACAAUGGGCGCAAGCCUGAUCCAGCCAUACCGCGUGGGUGAAGAAGGCCUUCGGGUUGUAAAGCCCUUUUGUUGGGAAAGAAAAGCAGCAGGUUAAUACCCCGCUGUUCUGACGGUACCCAAAGAAUAAGCACCGGCUAACUUCGUG